GUGCUCACUUCAGCAGCACAUAUACUAAAAUUGGAGUGAUACAGAGAUUAGCAUGGCCCUUGCACAAGGAUGAUACACAAAUUCAUAAAGCAUUCCUUAUUUUU
Small nuclear RNA from Nannospalax galili (Upper Galilee mountains blind mole rat), 104 nucleotides. Lineage: Eukaryota; Metazoa; Chordata; Mammalia; Rodentia; Spalacidae. The record is from Ensembl.